Molecule: ribosomal RNA, 500 nt
Filed under: uncultured bacterium
Lineage: Bacteria
Description: partial 16S ribosomal RNA
Rfam family: Bacterial small subunit ribosomal RNA
Source: RNAcentral
AUUGAACGCUGGCGGAAUGCUUUACACAUGCAAGUCGAACGGCAGCACGGACUUCGGUCUGGUGGCGAGUGGCGAACGGGUGAGUAAUGUAUCGGAACGUGCCCAGUCGUGGGGGAUAACGUAGUGAAAAUUACGCUAAUACCGCAUACGAUCUAUGGAUGAAAGCGGGGGAUCGCAAGACCUCGCGCGAUUGGAGCGGCCGAUAUCAGAUUAGGUAGUUGGUGGGGUAAAGGCCCACCAAGCAAACGAUCUGUAGCUGGUCUGAGAGGACGACCAGCCACACUGGAACUGUGACACGGUCCAGACUCCUACGGGAGGCAGCAGUGGGGAAUUUUGGACAAUGGGCGAAAGCCUGAUCCAGCCAUUCCGCGUGCAGGAUGAAGGCCCUCGGGUUGUAAACUGCUUUUGUACAGAACGAAAAGGUUUCUACUAAUACUAGGAGCUCAUGACGGUACUGUAAGAAUAAGCACCGGCUAACUACGUGCCAGCAGCCGCCGUAA